This 1300-nucleotide ribosomal RNA is filed under the name Salmonella enterica subsp. enterica serovar Derby. RNAcentral describes it as "partial 23S ribosomal RNA". It matches the Rfam family "Bacterial large subunit ribosomal RNA", at positions 690 to 1889 of the family's 2925-position model. The record is from RNAcentral. Lineage: Bacteria; Pseudomonadati; Pseudomonadota; Gammaproteobacteria; Enterobacterales; Enterobacteriaceae.
GGGCGUUAAGUUGCAGGGUAUAGACCCGAAACCCGGUGAUCUAGCCAUGGGCAGGUUGAAGGUUGGGUAACACUAACUGGAGGACCGAACCGACUAAUGUUGAAAAAUUAGCGGAUGACCUGUGGCUGGGGGUGAAAGGCCAAUCAAACCGGGAGAUAGCUGGUUCUCCCCGAAAGCUAUUUAGGUAGCGCCUCGUGAAUUCAUCUCCGGGGGUAGAGCACUGUUUCGGCUAGGGGGCCAUCCCGGCUUACCAACCCGAUGCAAACUGCGAAUACCGGAGAAUGUUAUCACGGGAGACACACGGCGGGUGCUAACGUCCGUCGUGAAGAGGGAAACAACCCAGACCGCCAGCUAAGGUCCCAAAGUCAUGGUUAAGUGGGAAACGAUGUGGGAAGGCCCAGACAGCCAGGAUGUUGGCUUAGAAGCAGCCAUCAUUUAAAGAAAGCGUAAUAGCUCACUGGUCGAGUCGGCCUGCGCGGAAGAUGUAACGGGGCUAAACCAUGCACCGAAGCUGCGGCAGCGAACGUAUCACUUAAAGCGAUUCAGCGGGUUACGAUUGACGGAGCGAAGCGACGUCAAAGCGUAUACAAAGUCGAGUCGGUUUAAGGAUACGUUCGUUGGGUAGGGGAGCGUUCUGUAAGCCUGUGAAGGUGGCCUGUGAGGGUUGCUGGAGGUAUCAGAAGUGCGAAUGCUGACAUAAGUAACGAUAAAGCGGGUGAAAAGCCCGCUCGCCGGAAGACCAAGGGUUCCUGUCCAACGUUAAUCGGGGCAGGGUGAGUCGACCCCUAAGGCGAGGCCGAAAGGCGUAGUCGAUGGGAAACGGGUUAAUAUUCCCGUACUUGGUGUUACUGCGAAGGGGGGACGGAGAAGGCUAUGUUGGCCGGGCGACGGUUGUCCCGGUUUAAGCGUGUAGGUGUGUGUUCCAGGUAAAUCCGGUUCACUUUAACACUGAGGCGUGAUGACGAGGCACUACGGUGCUGAAGCAACAAAUGCCCUGCUUCCAGGAAAAGCCUCUAAGCAUCAGGUAACAUCAAAUCGUACCCCAAACCGACACAGGUGGUCAGGUAGAGAAUACCAAGGCGCUUGAGAGAACUCGGGUGAAGGAACUAGGCAAAAUGGUGCCGUAACUUCGGGAGAAGGCACGCUGACACGUAGGUGAAGUGAUUUACUCACGGAGCUGAAGUCAGUCGAAGAUACCAGCUGGCUGCAACUGUUUAUUAAAAACACAGCACUGUGCAAACACGAAAGUGGACGUAUACGGUGUGACGCCUGCCCGGUGCCGGAAGGUUAAUUGAUGGGG